UCCGGCGUGGUCUAGUGGCUAGGAUACCUGGCUUUCACCUAGGAGGCCCGGGUUCGAUUCCCGGCGUCGGAG
RNAcentral lists this transfer RNA (72 nucleotides) under Rhipicephalus microplus (southern cattle tick). RNAcentral's name for it is "tRNA-Glu". It matches the Rfam family "tRNA". From Rfam's summary of the family: Transfer RNA (tRNA) molecules are approximately 80 nucleotides in length. Their secondary structure includes four short double-helical elements and three loops (D, anti-codon, and T loops). Further hydrogen bonds mediate the characteristic L-shaped molecular structure. tRNAs have two regions of fundamental functional importance: the anti-codon, which is responsible for specific mRNA codon recognition, and the 3' end, to which the tRNAs corresponding amino acid is attached (by aminoacyl-tRNA synthetases). tRNAs cope with the degeneracy of the genetic code in two manners: having more than one tRNA (with a specific anti-codon) for a particular amino acid; and 'wobble' base-pairing, i.e. permitting non-standard base-pairing at the 3rd anti-codon position. The record is from Rfam by way of RNAcentral. Lineage: Eukaryota; Metazoa; Arthropoda; Arachnida; Ixodida; Ixodidae.